UGAAUAUGAAGCGAUUGAUUGCAGUUAGUUUCGACCUAACCUUAGGUAAUUAUUAUACCCUUAUUCU
This 67-nucleotide transfer RNA is filed under the name Drosophila mauritiana. Its description in RNAcentral is "tRNA-Arg". The record is from RNAcentral. RNAcentral also lists the same sequence under 1 other name. Lineage: Eukaryota; Metazoa; Arthropoda; Insecta; Diptera; Drosophilidae.